Molecule: ribosomal RNA, 492 nt
Filed under: uncultured bacterium
Lineage: Bacteria
Description: partial 16S ribosomal RNA
Rfam family: Bacterial small subunit ribosomal RNA
Source: RNAcentral
AGUGAACGCUGGCGGUAGGCCUAACACAUGCAAGUCGAACGGCCGCACAGUAAGAGCUUGCUCUUACGGGUGGCGAGUGGCGGACGGGUGAGGAAUACAUCGGAAUCUACUUUUUCGUGGGGGAUAACGUAGGGCAACUUCUGCUAUUACCUAAUAUACCCACCGGUUGAAGGCCGGGGUCCUUGGACCUUUUGGCGUUUGAUUAAGCCGAUGUCGGAUUAGCUAGUUGGGGGGGUAAAGGCCCACCAAGGCGACGAUCCGUAGCUGGUCUGAGAGGAUGAUCAGCCACACUGGAACUGAGACACGGUCCAGACUCCUACGGGAGGCAGCAGUGGGGAAUAUUGGACAAUGGGCGCAAGCCUGAUCCAGCCAUACCGCGUGGGUGAAGAAGGCCUUCGGGUUGUAAAGCCCUUUUGUUGGGAAAGAAAAGCAGCAGGUUAAUACCCCGCUGUUCUGACGGUACCCAAAGAAUAAGCACCGGCUAACUUCGUG